This 464-nucleotide ribosomal RNA is filed under the name uncultured bacterium. Its description in RNAcentral is "partial 16S ribosomal RNA". It matches the Rfam family "Bacterial small subunit ribosomal RNA", at positions 339 to 795 of the family's 1533-position model. The record is from RNAcentral.
CUACGGGCGGCAGCAGUGGGGAAUAUUGGACAAUGGGCGCAAGCCUGAUCCAGCCAUGCCGCGUGUGUGAAGAAGGCCUUCGGGUUGUAAAGCACUUUCAGUUGGGAGGAAAGGUUAGUCGCUAAUAUCGGCUAGCUGUGACGUUACCAACAGAAGAAGCACCGGCUAACUCCGUGCCAGCAGCCGCGGUAAUACGGAGGGUGCAAGCGUUAAUCGGAAUUACUGGGCGUAAAGCGUACGCAGGCGGUUGAUUAAGCGAGAUGUGAAAGCCCCGGGCUCAACCUGGGAACUGCAUUUCGAACUGGUCAACUAGAGUGUGAUAGAGGGUGGUAGAAUUUCAGGUGUAGCGGUGAAAUGCGUAGAGAUCUGAAGGAAUACCGAUGGCGAAGGCAGCCACCUGGGUCAACACUGACGCUCAUGUACGAAAGCGUGGGGAGCAAACAGGAUUAGAUACCCCGGUAGUC